Molecule: transfer RNA, 73 nt
Filed under: bacterium
Lineage: Bacteria
Description: tRNA-Gln
Rfam family: tRNA
About the family: Transfer RNA (tRNA) molecules are approximately 80 nucleotides in length.
Source: RNAcentral
UGGGGAGUGGUGUAAUCGGUAACACGUCGGCCUUUGAAGCCGAAGAUUCUAGGUUCGAGCCCUAGCUCCCCAG